AAAAGGGCAAUGAAAAAGAGGAGUAGAAAAGGGUAGCCUUUGCAGAGAGCCGGGAUUGCUGGGAACCGGCAGGCGAGCUUUUCGAAGGCGCUUGGGAGCCGUCAGGAGGAACGCCUGUAAGGUUAGUAAAGCCUGAAUCCUUGAGGUGGGCAUUAAGCCAAUCAGGGUGGAACCGCGGGUUAUCCCGUCCCUGUU
This 195-nucleotide non-coding RNA is filed under the name Syntrophomonas wolfei. RNAcentral describes it as "T-box sequence". It matches the Rfam family "T-box leader". From Rfam's summary of the family: Uncharged tRNA acts as the effector for transcription antitermination of genes in the T-box leader family. T-boxes are found upstream of many aminoacyl-tRNA synthetase genes and some amino acid biosynthetic genes usually in Gram-positive bacteria. The record is from RNAcentral. Lineage: Bacteria; Bacillati; Bacillota; Clostridia; Eubacteriales; Syntrophomonadaceae.